RNAcentral lists this unclassified non-coding RNA (242 nucleotides) under uncultured Lactarius. RNAcentral describes it as "sequence contains ITS2". Lineage: Eukaryota; Fungi; Basidiomycota; Agaricomycetes; Russulales; Russulaceae. The record is from RNAcentral.
AAACCUCAACCUUCUCGGUUUCUUCUGGACGCCGAAGGAGGCUUGGACUUUGGAGGCCAUUGCCGGCGUCUCUGCCGGCUCCUCUCAAAUGAAUUAGCGGGGUCCUCUUUGCCGGUCCUCGACAUGUGAUAAGAUGUUUCCAUGUCUUGGUUUAUGGCUCUGUCACCUUUGGGACCCGCUUCUAGCCGUCUCGUCGAGACGUGUCUCCCUUCUCGGGGAAACGCUCUCGGACCCACGAACCC